CGGGGAGUAGCUCAGCCUGGCAGAGCACCACGUUCGGGACGUGGGGGCCGGAGGUUCAAAUCCUCUCUCCCCGACCA
RNAcentral lists this transfer RNA (77 nucleotides) under Alphaproteobacteria bacterium. RNAcentral's name for it is "tRNA-Pro". It matches the Rfam family "tRNA". From Rfam's summary of the family: Transfer RNA (tRNA) molecules are approximately 80 nucleotides in length. Their secondary structure includes four short double-helical elements and three loops (D, anti-codon, and T loops). Further hydrogen bonds mediate the characteristic L-shaped molecular structure. tRNAs have two regions of fundamental functional importance: the anti-codon, which is responsible for specific mRNA codon recognition, and the 3' end, to which the tRNAs corresponding amino acid is attached (by aminoacyl-tRNA synthetases). tRNAs cope with the degeneracy of the genetic code in two manners: having more than one tRNA (with a specific anti-codon) for a particular amino acid; and 'wobble' base-pairing, i.e. permitting non-standard base-pairing at the 3rd anti-codon position. The record is from RNAcentral. Lineage: Bacteria; Pseudomonadati; Pseudomonadota; Alphaproteobacteria. RNAcentral also lists the same sequence under 2 other names.